ACAGGUAAGUUAACAUUAUGUGUGCCAUUUUAAUGUUUGUACAUUUGUCCAUAUGACGUUAUAAGGGGUUUACCACAUCUUUCUCACCCAUGUUAUGGUUCAUAUUCUGUGUUCAGUUUGACAAGGAUCAAGAGACCAAGGACCAGGUGGUGAAGGCUGAACCAACAGACCAGACAGCUCUCCCACAGCCAGCCUCUGAACCUGCUCUACAGUCUGAAUAGCCCGGGUGAAGUUAAACUCUCCUUUGCUGGUGACCCAGAUGGCUGAGAACAUGUUAGGCUGGUACCCUGGAAGCUAAGAGGAAAGUGGCAAAGGAGCUCGCAGGCGAGACUGAUGAUUGCAGAGGAGCUGAAACCCACAGAGAACAUGGGUCUCAAUGAACACAAGAUCAAGGCCUGGUGAGAGCCACUACAGAGGAUCAUAGCCAUCAUUGGAAUUCUGAAAGGACGUGGGUCAACGUAGCCACCAGAUCCAGUCUGUAUCCAGAUCAGAGGGUCACUGCAGUCACAUGGAUCCAGUACGUAUCCAGACCAAAGGAAACAUAUGAUUCUUCUGCACAAUCUGACUUUGCUGGAGCCUGGAGUUGAACUGCUGGUUUCAUCUGGUCAGAGGAGAACUGGCCCCCCAAAUGAGCCUGGUUGUUCCCAAGGUUUUUUUCUCCAUUCUGUCACUGAUGGAGUUUCGGUUACUUGCCGCUGUUGCCUCUGGCUUGCUUAGCUGGGGUGACUUCAUCUACAGCGAUAUCGUUGACUUGAUUGCAAAUAAAUGCACAGACACUAUUUAAACUGAACAGAGAUGACAUCACUGAAUUCAAUGAUGAACUGCCUUUAAACCCCUUUGCGUGCAAACAUCGCUGACGGCCCCAGUUUAUUAUUGUUUCACUUUCACAGCACAUUAAACAUCACUGUCUUACUUCAUCUGGACAAACUGUGCAUCAAUGGAAAGUUUAAAGACUCAAGCUUCGAUAUUUGACCAAUAUUUUGAUAAAACAUUGUUGCAGUGACAGAUAUUUAGUGAUUUAUGUCAGGAGUGCAAAAUAAUAAAUCCGUAUUAUGCCACAUUUUGAAUAGAAAUUCACAACUCACUCAUAUUCAGUCACGCCAAGAGCGGUUUAUUUGUGUUCACAUAGACUCACUGAACAGCGUCAAUAAGGAUUUACAGACCAAAGAUGCAUAUCUGCGGAGAUAUAUGGAUAUAUUUACUGAUGUUUACUUCAUAUUUCUUCAGACAGAAUCGUCAUUUCUAUUCAUUUUCCACGGAUUU
This is a long non-coding RNA of Carassius gibelio (silver crucian carp), 1263 nucleotides long. RefSeq lists it as uncharacterized. The transcript is spliced from 3 exons. NCBI's taxonomy places the organism in Eukaryota, Metazoa, Chordata, Actinopteri, Cypriniformes, Cyprinidae. The record is from RefSeq and is a predicted model, not a curated record.